This 478-nucleotide ribosomal RNA is filed under the name uncultured Anaerolineaceae bacterium. RNAcentral's name for it is "bacterial SSU rRNA". It matches the Rfam family "Bacterial small subunit ribosomal RNA", at positions 20 to 524 of the family's 1533-position model. The record is from RNAcentral. Lineage: Bacteria; Bacillati; Chloroflexota; Anaerolineae; Anaerolineales; Anaerolineaceae.
UGGCUCAGGAUGAAUGCUGGCGGCGUGCCUAACACAUGCAAGUCGAACGGUCGCUUCGGCGAUAGUGGCGAACGGGUGAGUAACACGUAGUUUACCUACCCCAGAGAGCGGGACAACUAACCGAAAGGUUAGCUAAUACCGCAUAAGCUCACGAUGAAUAGACAGUUGUGAGAAAAGGGAGCAAUCCGCUUUGGGAUGGGACUGCGGUCCAUCAGCUAGUUGGUGCGGUAAAGGCGCACCAAGGCGACGACGGAUAGGGGGCCUGAGAGGGUGACCCUCCACACUGGAACUGAGACACGGUCCAGACUCCUACGGGAGGCAGCAGUGAGGAAUAUUGCUCAAUGGGCGCAAGCCUGAAGCAGCAACGCCGCGUGGGUGAAGAAGGAUUUCGGUUCGUAAAACCCUUUUCUGUGUGACGAGAACGGACGGUAGCACAGGAAUAAGUGUCGGCUAACUACGUGCCAGCCGCCGCCGUAAC